GUAAAUAUGCGUCUUUCAUAUUUAUAUAAAGACCUAUUAUACCUCUCUCAGUGAUUGAUCCAUAAAGAAACGGGAUAUGCUGACGAAGUUUCACUUAGUGAUCCAGAGAGAUACACUGACGACUUCCUCAGUCCCCGAAUAAAGUAAAUUAACCCUUGUGUGGUGUUGGUGGACACAGGAAGUUGCCUGUUGUCUUGAAUAUUUUAAUUUUGUUUAAAUAAUAAUAAUAAUAAUAAUAAUUAAUUGUUUAAUUAAACGUACGUUAAAAAGUGAGAAGUUGCUCACUCAGAAAAAGUGACACAGAAAGUUGCCUGUUGUCUUAAAUACUUCUCGUUAAGUGAGAAGUUGCUCAUCAAAGAGUGACACAGGGAGUUGCCUGUUAUCUUGAAACGUACGUUAAAAAGUGAGAAGUUGCUCACUCACAGAAAGCUAGUAAAUAAUUUAAUUUAAUUUUGUUAAAAAAAAAAAAAAAAAACGAAAGAAAACUGAAAACGGGUCUCACAGACCCGAUUACCAUACAAGGGUUAAAAGCAGUAAAUUAAAAGCAGAAAGACACAGGAAGUUGCCUGUUGUUUUACGAGAAGUUGCUCGUUAAGCGAGAAGUUGCUCGCUAAGUGAGAGUUGCUCACACAAACAAAAAAUUGCUAGCAAUAAAUUUAAAGUGACCUCAGCUGUGCCGCAGCGAAAAUACUAACAUAAAUCCUCCUAGCGUGUAAACCCCUCUGGAAAUCACUGAACAUGGGUCAGAAUAAUUCAAAGACCACAGACAGGUCCGAUAAAAAAUCUAAAGUACCUGUAAAACCAAAAAUUAAUAAAAUACAAAAUAAAGUCUCAAAUAACGGCUCAGUAUAACUCCCAUUUCCGGUUACGUGUAACCUACGUCCGCGAAUCGGUGAAGACGUCCAUGAUCACGUAUCCAGAACAUGCGGGAGUGCUUAUGUGACUGACUUUGUUUACAACUUAAGAAGUUCAAUGCAUUCUAAUUUAUUUUCGGAGCCUUAUCCCGAACGAUUAUCGCCAGAAACCAGACUAUUUCCAAGACCAUGGUCAGCUUCCAGAGGGGCACCGCUAGUAGAAGGUGAUGUAUAUUGCAUUGUCCACUGAUGUUCACAACCUGGUAGAAAAACUGAAUAAUAACUAUCAGAAAGUUUGUCUCUCUCAGCUUUUCCCCUCCACAGUUCCACCAGUGGAGACAAGGAGACGCAUGUUGGAGAAGCCACUAAAACCAAGGACUCUCUGGGAGGCCGCGCGUGUUCCAGCCCCAGACUGUACUGGCAGUGACGAAGAACCAGCAUCCUCAUAGACGGACAACCUCAGUGGAUUCAUGCCAGCAGGGUUAAGACCAGCCCAAUCGGACCAUCUCAGGCGUCGGAUCAAGCAGACGACAUCUCCGGCGAGCCAGCGCCCGGAACUAGAGCAAAUAAACACACGGGUAGAUGACAUCUCCGGCGAGCCAGCGCCAGGAUCCAAUUUACACACACACACAAUCACUGAUUAAGACACAACGUCUGAAAGAACAACAACAAGGUACUCAAACAUCCAGCAGGAACAGAAAGCCAAAAGUACCACAUGAUGUCUAACCUGAUAAAGCCAGACUCAUUUCAUCCUGAUAAUGGAGAAAAUGAAAUGCCCAUUGUCAU
Molecule: long non-coding RNA, 1640 nt
Organism: Astatotilapia calliptera (eastern happy)
Lineage: Eukaryota; Metazoa; Chordata; Actinopteri; Cichliformes; Cichlidae
Source: Ensembl